This is a small nucleolar RNA of Humulus lupulus (European hop), 79 nucleotides long. RefSeq annotates it as small nucleolar RNA snoR53Y. The transcript has a single exon. The record is from RefSeq and is a predicted model, not a curated record. NCBI's taxonomy places the organism in Eukaryota, Viridiplantae, Streptophyta, Magnoliopsida, Rosales, Cannabaceae.
UUUCCCUGUGAUGCUAUAUGUAACCAUGCUAAUACUGAUCAUUUAAGUGAUUGAUUCUUACUUUGUUUCUGAGGGAAUC